UCAGAGGGGGGUAGAAUNCCACGUGUAGCAGUGAAAUGCGUAGAGAUGUGGAGGAAUACCGAUGGCGAAGGCAGCCCCCUGGGAUAAUACUGACGUUCAUGCUNGAAAGCGUGGGUAGCAAACAGGAUUAGAUACCCUGGUAGUCCACGCCCUAAACGAUGUCAAUUAGCUGUUGGGGCACUUGAUGCCUUAGUAGCGAAGCUAACGCGUGAAAUUGACCGCCUGGGGAGUACGGUCGCAAGAUUAAAACUCAAAGGAAUUGACGGGGACCCGCACAAGCGGUGGAUGAUGUGGAUUAAUUCGAUGCAACGCGAAGAACCUUACCUGGUCUUGACAUGUACGGAAUCUUCCAGAGACGGAAGAGUGCCUUCGGGAGCCGUAACACAGGUGCUGCAUGGCUGUCGUCAGCUCGUGUCGUGAGAUGUUGGGUUAAGUCCCGCAACGAGCGCAACCCUUGUCAUUAGUUGCCACCAUUCAGUUGGGCACUCUAAUGAGACUGCCGGUGACAAACCGGAGGAAGGUGGGGAUGACGUCAAGUCCUCAUGGCCCUUAUGACCAGGGCUUCACACGUCAUACAAUGGUCGGUACAGAGGGUAGCCAAGCCGCGAGGUGGAGCCAAUCUCAGAAAACCGAUCGUAGUCCGGAUUGCACUCUGCAACUCGAGUGCAUGAAGUCGGAAUCGCUAGUAAUCGCAGGUCAGCAUACUGCGGUGAAUACGUUCCCGGGUCUUGUACACACCGCCCGUCACACCAUGGGAGUGGGGGAUACCAGAAGUAGGUA
This 780-nucleotide ribosomal RNA is filed under the name uncultured bacterium. RNAcentral's name for it is "bacterial SSU rRNA". It matches the Rfam family "Bacterial small subunit ribosomal RNA", at positions 651 to 1432 of the family's 1533-position model. The record is from RNAcentral.